UACGAAGGGGGCUAGCGUUUUUCGGAAUUACUGGGCGUAAAGCGCACGUAGGCGGAUUUGUAAGUCAGGGGUGAAAUCCCGGGGCUCAACCUCGGAACUGCCUUUGAUACUGCCAGUCUCGAGCACGGAAGAGGUGAGUGGAAUUCCGAGUGUAGAGGUGAAAUUCGUAGAUAUUAGGAGGAACACCAGUGGCGAAGGCGGCUCACUGGCCAGAUUCUGACGCUGAGGUGCGAAAGCGUGGGGAGCAAACAGG
This 253-nucleotide ribosomal RNA is filed under the name uncultured bacterium. RNAcentral's name for it is "partial 16S ribosomal RNA". It matches the Rfam family "Bacterial small subunit ribosomal RNA", at positions 524 to 776 of the family's 1533-position model. The record is from RNAcentral.